CCAGCGGAAGGAUCAUUACCGAGACUUUUACCGAGCGGCCCGGGACCGUCUCCGCACGGCCCGGUCCGUUCGGGCGUUUUUGUCGCCCUACCCCAUGUGAAUUUGCAGCCCGUGUUGCCUCGGCGGUUGCCCUGAGCCCUGAUCGCGCUCGAAUUUAUUCCGCGCGUGCGCGAGUGCGCGACGCGAGAUGCCUUAGUGGUCAAUCCCCCCGCCGAGUGCUGUUCCCGUUGGACAAUUCGUGUCGCGAUUAGUUGUAUCCUGUCUGAGGUUAGUACAAACAUAGCGAAAUAAAGCAAAACUUUCAACAACGGAUCUCUUGGUUCCGGCAUCGAUGAAGAACGCAGCGAAAUGCGAUAAGUAAUGUGAAUUGCAGAAUUCAGUGAAUCAUCGAAUCUUUGAACGCAUAUUGCGCCCCUUGGAAUUCCGAUGGGCAUACCUGUUCGAGCGUCAUUGGCACUCUGUUCCAGCCGGCGCUGGGCCUUGGGCGGUGCGGUUCGGAUGGCGAGAAGCCCCUUUCGGGGUGUUCGUUUGCCCCACUCUGCAUGCCUGAAAGUGAACGUCAACCCGUUGCCCGGGGGCAUCGAGCGCAGUAAAACUCCAGUGUGGAUCUCGCUCGGCCAGCCAUCCACGACGCGGUUCGACCUUGGGCAGGCUGUUCGGCAGCCUGUCCGCCUUAUCAUCCAUGUAGACCUCGAAUCAGGUAAGGAUACCCGCUGAACUUAAGC
Molecule: ribosomal RNA, 725 nt
Filed under: Coccocarpia palmicola
Lineage: Eukaryota; Fungi; Ascomycota; Lecanoromycetes; Peltigerales; Coccocarpiaceae
Description: eukaryotic LSU rRNA
Rfam family: 5.8S ribosomal RNA (bases 297-450)
Source: RNAcentral